Molecule: ribosomal RNA, 440 nt
Filed under: uncultured bacterium
Lineage: Bacteria
Description: partial 16S ribosomal RNA
Rfam family: Bacterial small subunit ribosomal RNA
Source: RNAcentral
ACUACGGGUGGCAGCAGUGGGGGAUAUUGCACAAUGGGGGGAACCCUGAUGCAGCGACGCCGCGUGGGUGAAGAAGCGCCUCGGCGCGUAAAGCCCUGUCAGCAGGGAAGAAAAUGACGGUACCUGAAGAAGAAGCCCCGGCUAACUACGUUCCAGCAGCCGCGGUAAUACGUAGGGGGCAAGCGUUAUCCGGAUUUACUGGGUGUAAAGGGGGCGCAGACGGCGAUGCAAGCCAGGAGGGAAAGCCCGGGGCCCAACCCCGGGACUGCUCUUGGAACUGCGUGGCUGGAGUGCAGGAGGGGCAGGCGGAAUUCCUGGUGUAGCGGUGAAAUGUGUAGAUAUCAGGAGGAACACCGGUGGCGAAGGCGGCCUGCUGGACUGCAACUGACGUUGAGGCCCGAAAGCGUGGGGAGCAAACAGGAUUAGAUACCCCAGUAGUC